GUUGGAUGUCAAGAGUAGAUAAUGUUGAUGACUAAUGGAAGAGUAGUUUAUACAGCGUGGAUACGCUGGGCAAAGAGAUGGUUCACAUUCCACUUGGAGCAGGAUGGUGCAAGAUUUCAUCACACUUCUCAGAACAACACACAGUUUAAAACUUAAUGACUUUUUUAUUUCUGGAAUUUCUCAUUUAAAAUUUUUGGACCACAGUUGACUGCAGGUUGUAAAGCUCUCUGAAAUAGUGACCUUAGCGAAGCAAGCACAUGUGGAUGUGAAAUUUCAGUUGCCAAUAUGAUCUGAAAACCCAGUGGAUGGCUGAAGAUAUGCAGGAGGAGAUAUCUUUUUAUGGCUUAGCAGAAUGCUGCUCAAAGCGCCAGUCUCUGAAGCUCUUUGUUCCUGACUUGCAACCAGGUACUUUAGAUUUUCUACAUCUAAUGGUGGCAAAUAAAUCCACUAGCUGCCAAAUACAUGGGAAAUGAUCUGUGAAAACCACAAGUGGCCCAACAAACUGUACGUCUUCAAUUUGACAGCACAAAGGAAUUAUUGGU
This 542-nucleotide long non-coding RNA is filed under the name Homo sapiens (human). RNAcentral describes it as "HSALNT0373282". The record is from RNAcentral. Lineage: Eukaryota; Metazoa; Chordata; Mammalia; Primates; Hominidae.